Molecule: long non-coding RNA, 1353 nt
Filed under: Gouania willdenowi (blunt-snouted clingfish)
Lineage: Eukaryota; Metazoa; Chordata; Actinopteri; Blenniiformes; Gobiesocidae
Description: lncRNA (ENSGWIG00000019282.1)
Source: RNAcentral
AAAAAAAAAAAAAAUAAUAAAUAGGAGCCUGUAUCAUACAGGGAAUGGUAGUCUGCCACGGAUUCAAAGGAGGAAAUAUUGGAUUGCACAGAGAAGCGAUGACAGAAAUCCUUUAAGACACUGUGUUUUUAAUACAACCAAAUCCCGAUGAAAAAAAAAAAAAAAAAAUGGUUAAAUGAUGAUGAACCAAACAGUGUGGUGGAUAAGUUAAAAAAAAAAAAAAAAUUGUGUAUGUCUAUCAUACUGGGGGUUGAUUUGACGCAGGCUACGAAUGCAUAUAAAUUAAUACUGGAAGUGGUCUUCAGCAACACCAGCAGAAAGGUAGCUGAAGAACCGUUUAGAAGUGAUUUAUGGGAAGAGGCGAUGUGGAACUGCAGCGGACACCUACCUAUAAAUCUCACAGAACUAAGAAAGGAAGCAAAGAUGAGGCCCUCUGCAUUCUUUGAAGCCUGGGAAUGGAGUCAAUUAGCAGGUUUAUUACUGGGACAGAAUGAAGGCUGGAAUAGUUUUGAUUCGGCUGUAAUGGGAGUCUUAGUGAUUCCGCACCUGAUAGCAAUCCCUAGGGAGGAUGGGUCGGUGUUACAUAAAUUUUUGGCUUAUCCAUUGCCUCCCGAAGACCAUGACGGUUUGGAAUUUUUUAAUGAGAGGAACACCUUUGAUUGGAAAGGAAAAAUAGAAGUUAAGAAGGAUUUGGGGAGUUUCUCUGAUGAGAUCAGGGUAGAAAAUAUGACAGAAUGGGGAGAAGCAAGGAAGGAGUUUUUGCCAGAAGAGAUGCGCAUAUUAAUAGAGGACAUGCAUAUACGUUGGCAGAUGCAGUUCUUUUAUUCGUACCUGACAAAAACUACUUUUGGAAAGAGACAAGAGUGGAUGGAUGUGAUGAAAAUGUAUAAGGCAUACAAAGCAUUUUUACAAAGAAUAGAAUAUGAGAAUACAGAGAGUACAGGUGAAAUCUGGAUUAAACCUUGGGCAGAAAAAUUAGCUGCAAAAAAAUAUACAUUAACAAAUGAAGAUAGGAAAAUCCGCCAUCUACUCCCAGACUUUUUGCACACAAUUAAAAAGCAUCACAAACACCAGGGUGAAUGGAAUUGGCAAGACUUCAUACAGUCACCGUUCCCCUAUCAAAUGACUUUCCUCUAUACCACCGAGAGAUCAUUAUUCCUCACGGCACCCAUAAAUGAUUGGAACGGCGAAAAGGAUAAUGAGACAAUAUUUAAGAAAUGGUUGCCACUAACUCCUGAUGCUCAAUGGCAUCAGCUUCGCUGGUCUCACGAAGAUGAAUCAUGGAAUCUGACGAUUACAGAGGCGGCAGGUGCGAGAAUAAUUGGAAAGAAACCAGUAAUAAAGAAUGGUGAG